GCUGGCGGCGUGCCUAAUACAUGCAAGUCGAGCGAACAGAUGAGGAGCUUGCUCCUCUGCCGUUAGCGGCGGACGGGUGAGUAACACGUGGAUAACCUACCUAUAAGACUGGGAUAACUUCGGGAAACCGGAGCUAAUACCGGAUAAUAUAUUGAACCGCAUGGUUCAAUAGUGAAAGACGGUUUUGCUGUCACUUAUAGAUGGAUCCGCGCCGCAUUAGCUAGUUGGUAAGGUAACGGCUUACCAAGGCAACGAUGCGUAGCCGACCUGAGAGGGUGAUCGGCCACACUGGAACUGAGACACGGUCCAGACUCCUACGGGAGGCAGCAGUAGGGAAUCUUCCGCAAUGGGCGAAAGCCUGACGGAGCAACGCCGCGUGAGUGAUGAAGGUCUUCGGAUCGUAAAACUCUGUUAUUAGGGAAGAACAAAUGUGUAAGUAACUAUGCACGUCUUGACGGUACCUAAUCAGAAAGCCACGGCUAACUACGUG
Molecule: ribosomal RNA, 490 nt
Filed under: uncultured bacterium
Lineage: Bacteria
Description: partial 16S ribosomal RNA
Rfam family: Bacterial small subunit ribosomal RNA
Source: RNAcentral